This is a long non-coding RNA of Oncorhynchus tshawytscha (Chinook salmon), 1244 nucleotides long. NCBI's taxonomy places the organism in Eukaryota, Metazoa, Chordata, Actinopteri, Salmoniformes, Salmonidae. The record is from Ensembl.
GUUGUGGGAGCUGUGAGGGUGCACGAACAAUGAGAACCCACAUGACAAACAAUAACGCACAAAACAGAGAGGGAAAUCAGAGGGUUAAAUAAGGAACAUAAUUAAUGGAAUGGAAACCAGGUGUGUAUGAUCAAGACAAAACAAAACGAAACAUGGAUCUAUGGUGGCGAGAAAGCCGGUGACGUCGACCGCCGCCCGAAGAAGGAGAGGGACCAACUUCGGCCGAAGUCGUGACAUUUGCACACACUGUAUAUAGACUUUCUAUUGUGUUAUUGACUGUAAGUUUGUUUAUCCCAAGUGUAUCUCUGUGUUGUUGUUUUUGUGCACUGAUUUGCUUUAUCCUUGCCAGUUGUAAAUGAGAACUUGUUCUCAAUUGGCCUACCUGGUUAUAUAAAGGUAAACGAUUUUUUAAAAUAGAUAUAUAUAUAUAUAUAAAAUAUAUAGAUAUAAAUUCCCGCCUCAGUUUGCUCACGGGAACCCCCGCACGCUGCUCAUUCACUCCAGGAGCUGUCACCCUGUCUCUCUCUCUCCUCCUCUCUCUCUCUCAAACUGACACACACCAAGUAGCUCGAGCCCCAGUGGAGACGCUGCUGACGCUCUGCUCGCUCCACCGACAACACCGAGUCACGUUCUGUUCUUUUCUCGCUCCACCGACAACACCGAGUCACGUUCUGUUCUUCUCUCGCUCCACAGACAACACCAAGUCACGGUAUGUUCUUCUCUGGCAGAACCGGAGAGCGAAAGCCCUUUAGGAUUCUAUCUAUCGCGUGUGAUAUUUGGAGCUGAACGACCGGUCGUGACGGAGGACGCGAGGGGAAAUACAAAAAAAGAGCGAAAGGGAGAAAAGAAAAGAGGCCCUCUCUCAACACAGACCUGGGGGGGUUCAUCCUGUGCUCCUAAUCAGGGAUUCAGACCGUGGACACCAGGUGGUGUCCUCCCAUCAGAAACACUCUGAGAGCAGCUUGACAGCACAGGACGGAAGGAGGGAGGGAGAGAGAGAGAGAGAGAGAGAGAGAGAGAGCCGACCAUCUGUGAAUCACAUCAAGGCAGCUGUGGUUAGAGUGGACUGCAGUUAUUUUACGAACGAGAGGCAGAGAGGGGGAUAGAAGUGGAGAGAAGGAGAGGGGAUAGAAGUGGAGAGAAGGAGGGGGAUAGAAGUGGAGAGAAGGAGAGGGGAUAGAAGUGGAGAGAAGGAGAGGGGAUAGAAGUGGAGAGAAGGAGAGGGGAUAGAAGUGGAGAGAAGG